GUGCCAGCAGCCGCGGUAAUUCCGAGGGGGCGAGCGUUAAUCGGGAUUACUGGGCGUAAGCGCGCGUAGGUGGCUUGGCACGCCGGUUGUGAAAGCCCCGGGCUCAACCUGGGAACGGCAUCCGGAACGGUCAGGCUAGAGUGCAGGAGAGGAAGGUAGAAUUCCCGGUGUAGCGGUGAAAUGCGUAGAGAUCGGGAGGAAUACCAGUGGCGAAGGGCGGCCUUUCUGGCUUGACACUGACACUGAGGUGCGAAAGCGUGGGUAGCAAACAGGAUUAGAUACCCUGGUAUUCC
This 293-nucleotide ribosomal RNA is filed under the name uncultured microorganism. Its description in RNAcentral is "partial 16S ribosomal RNA". It matches the Rfam family "Bacterial small subunit ribosomal RNA", at positions 505 to 796 of the family's 1533-position model. The record is from RNAcentral.